Molecule: ribosomal RNA, 468 nt
Filed under: uncultured bacterium
Lineage: Bacteria
Description: partial 16S ribosomal RNA
Rfam family: Bacterial small subunit ribosomal RNA
Source: RNAcentral
GACGAACGCUGGCGGCGUGCUUAACACAUGCAAGUCGAACGGAAAGACCCUGCUUUUGUGGGGUGCUCGAGUGGCGAACGGGUGAGUAACACGUGAGUAACCUGCCCUUGACUUUGGGAUAACUUCAGGAAACUGGGGCUAAUACCGGAUAGGAGCUCCUGCUGCAUGGUGGGGGUUGGAAAGUUUCGGCGGUUGGGGAUGGACUCGCGGCUUAUCAGCUUGUUGGUGGGGUAGUGGCUUACCAAGGCUUUGACGGGUAGCCGGCCUGAGAGGGUGACCGGCCACAUUGGGACUGAGAUACGGCCCAGACUCCUACGGGAGGCAGCAGUGGGGAAUAUUGCACAAUGGGCGGAAGCCUGAUGCAGCAACGCCGCGUGCGGGAUGACGGCCUUCGGGUUGUAAACCGCUUUCGCCUGGGACGAAGCGUGAGUGACGGUAAUGGGUAAAGAAGCACCGGCUAACUACGUG